This 497-nucleotide ribosomal RNA is filed under the name uncultured bacterium. RNAcentral's name for it is "partial 16S ribosomal RNA". It matches the Rfam family "Bacterial small subunit ribosomal RNA", at positions 28 to 507 of the family's 1533-position model. The record is from RNAcentral.
GAUGAACGCUGGCGGCGUGCCUAAUACAUGCAAGUCGAGCGAACAGACGAGGAGCUUGCUCCUCUGACGUUAGCGGCGGACGGGUGAGUAACACGUGGAUAACCUACCUAUAAGACUGGGAUAACUUCGGGAAACCGGAGCUAAUACCGGAUAAUAUAUUGAACCGCAUGGUUCAAUAGUGAAAGACGGUUUUGCUGUCACUUAUAGAUGGAUCCGCGCCGCAUUAGCUAGUUGGUAAGGUAACGGCUUACCGAGGCAACGAUGCGUAGCCGACCUGAGAGGGGGAUCGGCCACACUGGAACUGAGACACGGUCCAGACUCCUACGGGAGGCAGCAGUAGGGAAUCUUCCGCAAUGGGCGAAAGCCUGACGGAGCAACGCCGCGUGAGUGAUGAAGGUCUUCGGAUCGUAAAACUCUGUUAUUAGGGAAGAACAAAUGUGUAAGUAACUAUGCACGUCUUGACGGUACCUAAUCAGAAAGCCACGGCUAACUACGUG